UACGGAGGGUGCAAGCGUUGUCCGGAUUUAUUGGGUUUAAAGGGUGCGUAGGCGGCCCGUUAAGUCAGUGGUGAAAUCCUGGAGCUCAACUCCAGAACUGCCUUUGAUACUGGGAGUCUUGAGUUCGGGAGAGGUGAGUGGAACUGCGAGUGUAGAGGUGAAAUUCGUAGAUAUUCGCAAGAACACCAGUGGCGAAGGCGGCUCACUGGCCCGAUACUGACGCUGAGGUGCGAAAGCGUGGGGAGCAAACAGG
This 253-nucleotide ribosomal RNA is filed under the name uncultured bacterium. Its description in RNAcentral is "partial 16S ribosomal RNA". It matches the Rfam family "Bacterial small subunit ribosomal RNA", at positions 524 to 776 of the family's 1533-position model. The record is from RNAcentral.